RNAcentral lists this ribosomal RNA (381 nucleotides) under uncultured eukaryote. Its description in RNAcentral is "SSU rRNA". It matches the Rfam family "Eukaryotic small subunit ribosomal RNA", at positions 587 to 972 of the family's 1831-position model. The record is from RNAcentral.
AGCUCCAAUAGCGUAUAUUAAAGUUGUUGCAGUUAAAAAGCUCGUAGUUGAACUUCAGAUCUGGUCGGGCGGUCCGCCUCACGGUGUGUACUGUCUGACUGGGUCUUACCUCUUGGUGAGCCGGCGUGCCCUUUAUUGGCGUGCGUCGGGGAACCAGGACUUUUACCUUGAGAAAAUUAGAGUGUUCAAAGCAGGCUUAUGCCCGAAUACAUUAGCAUGGAAUAAUAAAAUAGGACGUGCGGUUCUAUUUUGUUGGUUUCUAGAAUCGCCGUAAUGAUUAAUAGGGAUAGUUGGGGGCAUUGGUAUUGAGUCGCUAGAGGUGAAAUUCUUGGAUUGACUCAAGACCAACUACUGCGAAAGCAUUUGCCAAGGAUGUUUUCA